This 407-nucleotide ribosomal RNA is filed under the name uncultured bacterium. Its description in RNAcentral is "partial 16S ribosomal RNA". It matches the Rfam family "Bacterial small subunit ribosomal RNA", at positions 30 to 526 of the family's 1533-position model. The record is from RNAcentral.
AUUGAACGCUGGCGGAAGGCCUAACACAUGCAAGUCGAGCGGAGCGGCGGACGGGUGAGUAAUGCCUAGGAAUCUGCCUGGUAGUGGGGGAUAACGUUCGGAAACGGGCGCUAAUACCGCAUACUAUCAAAUGAGCCUAGGUAGGAUUAGGUAGUUGGUGGGGUCACGGCAUACCAAGGCGACGAUCCGUAACUGGUCUGAGAGGAUGAUCAGUCACACUGGAACUGAGACACUGUCCAGACUCCUACGGGAGGCAGCAGUGGUGAAUAUUGGACAAUGGGCGAAAGCCUGAUCCAGCCAUGCCGCGUGUGGUAAGAAGGUCUUCGGAUUGUAAAGCACUUUAAGUUGGGAGGCGUUACCAACAGAAUAAGCACCGGCUAACUCCGUGCCAGCCGCCGCGGUAAUAC